This 832-nucleotide non-coding RNA is filed under the name Pongo abelii (Sumatran orangutan). The record is from RNAcentral. Lineage: Eukaryota; Metazoa; Chordata; Mammalia; Primates; Hominidae.
AGAUGCCUUCUGCCACGAUUGCAAGUUCCCUGAGGUCUCCCCAGCCAUGCAGAACUGACCUGUGAGAGAAAGCAGGGGAAGCAGAACCCUUUGAUGGAGACAACAGAGUCAGGACAAUAUUGUUUAAGUCUCCUAAAUCCAAACAUGCCUGAAGCUAUAAGUUACUUCUGAAACUUAAAAAUUUGUAUGUGGUAUCUGUUUAUUAUGGCAGCCCAGUAAGACUAAGACAGGCCAUCACAAGACGUGAACGUUUUGGACCUUCUCUUGGGCCCUAGUAAACAGAAAUCAGGCUAUUUAUUAAACUAAUCCACGUUCUGAACUGCUAUUGCUACUGGAAACCAGUCCCGAUCCAGACCCCAAAAGAGGAUUCUUGGAUCUUGCACAAGAAAGAAAGUCUACUCCUCACAGUAAAAGAGCACUUGGUGGAAAUUUUGUUCUGAAGUCAAGGCUGAAACCCCAGAGAUCAAACACUGUACUCAAGUUUACAAAGCUGGACUCAGACCCUAACACUGGCUUUAAAAUUUGUCCUAAGUUAGACCAUAAUGCCUCUCUUUCCAGCUGGAUCUACAUGCCUCCACUCUGGCUUUUAACAAGGCUCUGAACUAUUGUCAGAACUUGGGAAUUUCUAACAUUGAAGGUAACACAUUGACACAAUUUCCUCGAUGUAAAAUUGUAUACACUUUAUCCAAGUACCAUCUGAGCAUGUUAUGUCCUAUUUGUACCCUUACAAAAACUGAUUGGUGGCCAAAUUGAUUUGAGACUGAAAGUUGCCACUUAUGUUCUUAGAAAUACUUGCUUUAAUUCUCCAGAAUCAGUUGCUCUGAUACAACUU